GUAUGAUUUAUAUACAUUUAGGUACACAAUAUGUCUGACUGAUAGAAAUUCAUCACCUGUAAUCGGCAAGGAAACCAGAAAGCAAGCAUUGGAAAAAUGGGGAGGAAACCCAGAUGUGGUAGAAAACACAAUAUGUCUGACUGAUAGAAAUUCAUAUGAAUUGAUUUUCUCAUAUGCAUUCAUGAUUCUUAUUUUGAUUUUUAAGUCUAUUUUGAUUUCUACAAACUCUAACUAUGUCGAUAUGUAUCCAUAUAAAAGCUUAUGA
Non-coding RNA from Vicia faba (fava bean), 265 nucleotides. Lineage: Eukaryota; Viridiplantae; Streptophyta; Magnoliopsida; Fabales; Fabaceae. The record is from the annotation of a GenBank genome assembly.